Molecule: long non-coding RNA, 3198 nt
Filed under: Triticum aestivum (bread wheat)
Lineage: Eukaryota; Viridiplantae; Streptophyta; Magnoliopsida; Poales; Poaceae
Description: long non-coding RNA (TAES_LNC020320)
Source: RNAcentral
UCGAAUACACAAGAGUCAGGAGUGGCAACAAUAUCUGAGUACAGACAUAACUUAAACAAGUUUGCCUUAAGAAGACUAGCACAAAUGUAGCAACGGUCGAAAAGGCAAGGCCUCCUGCCUGGGACCUCCUAACUACUCCUCGAAGCCGAACUCCAUGUAGAAACAUCCUCGGGAUCCUCUGGCUCCUGGACUCCAUCAUAUGAUCGCAGUAUCCGGGAAAAGGGGGAAAAUAAGUAGGAAAGCAACCGUGAGUACUCAUCCAAAUUACUCGCAAGCAAGGAGCUACACUACAUAUGCAUUGGUAUCAAAUGAAAGGGGCAGUAUAUGUGGACUGAACUGCAGAAUGCCAGAAUAAGAGGGGGAUAGUUAGUCCUGUCGAAGACUACGCUUCUGGCAACCUCCAUCUUGCAACAUGUACAAGAGAGUAGAUGGUAAGUUCACCAAGUAUCAUCGCAUAGCAUAACCCUACCCGGCGAUCCUCUCCUCGUUGCCCUAUUAGAGAGCGAUCACCGAGUUGUAUUUGGCACUUGAAAGGGUAUGUUUUAUUAAGUAUCCGGUUCUAGUUGUCAUAAGGUCAAGGUACAACUCCGGGUCAUCCUUUUACCGAGGGACUCGGCUAUUUGAAUAGAUAAACUUUCCUGCAGGAGUGCACCACAUUUUCCAACACGCUCGAUCCCCUUUGGCCGGACACACUUUCUUGGGUCAUGCCCGGCCUCGGAAGAUCAACACAUCGCAGCCCUACCUAGGCACAACAGAGAGGUCAGCACGACGGUCUAAAUCCUAAGCGCGCAGGGGUCUGGGCCCAUCGCCCAUUGCACACCUGCAUGUUGCGUACGCGGCCGGUGAGCAAACCUAGCAAAUUCCAUUACAAAGGAAGUUGUGUUACGCGGUCCAACCCGGCGCGCGCGCUCAGUCGCUGACGUCAAGAAGGCUUCCGCUGAUACCACGACACCGAGUGCCCAUAAUUGUUCCCGCGUAGUUGGUUAGUGCGUAUAGGCCAGUGGCCAGACUCAGAUCAAAUACCAAGAUCUCGUUAAGCGUGUUAAUUGAAGUAUCCGCGAACGCCGACCAGGGCCAGGCCCACCUCUCACCUAGGUGGUCACAACGUGCCCUGUCGCUCCGCCACAAAGUAACAGUCGGGGGCCGUCAGGAACUCCGGCCCACCACUACCUGGAUGGAGCCACCUGCCCCUUCAGCCCCCACAUUUGAAUCACUUGCGGGUACUCUAUGAGCCGACCCGACUUUAGUCACCACAUGUAUCAUGUGUAAUAUGUAUAGUAUAUACCCGUGAUCACCUCCCGAGUAAUAACAGCCCAAUAAUAUAGCAUGGCAGACGGACAAGAAUGUAGGGCCACUGAUGGAAUACUAGCAUCCAAUACUAAGCGUUUAGGAUUGCAGGUAAAGUAUCAACCGUUGUAGCAACAAUGACAGGCUAUGCAACAGAAUAGGGUUAACCGAAAGCAGUAACAUGCUACACUACUCUAAUGCAAGCAGUAGAGAGAAGAAUAGGCGAUAUCUGGUGAUCAAGGGGGGCUUGCCUGGUUGCUCUGGCAACGAGGGGUCAUCAACAAUGUAGUCGAUCGGGGCAUCAGCAGCGGCGUCAGUCUCGUAGUCUACCGGAGAGAAGAGGGGGAAGAAACAAUGAAUACAAUGCAAACAGAUGCAUAACGAUGCAUGACAUGACAAGUAAUGGUGCCAGGAGUGCCCUAACGCAGUAGUAGGUGAUACCGGUGAAGGGGGAAACAUCUGGGAAAGUAUCCCCGGUGUUUCGCGUUUUCGGACAAAUGAACCGAAGGGGAAAAAUUGCAUGUGCGCUAUGCUAGGGAUGUGUGGCGGACGAACGAGCUGCGUAUUCAGAUUUGUCUCGUCGUUCUGAGCAACUUUUAUGUACAAAGUUUUUCGAUCUGAGCUACGGGUGAAUUUCUACAAUUUUCCGAAGUUUUUAAGCAUUUUCUGGAGUCCCUGAAAAUUGGCUAAGUCCUCAGUUUUAAACAUCACUUAGUUGUUUUGCAGAGGCUAUGGCUAGCAUUCUGUACAUCCUAUGAAUUAGUGCCUUAUAUCAAAUCUGGGCACUCUGCUGUGAUCUACAUGGCAGUCUCAGGUCCAUCUACAUUAGUGUCCAUUUGCUUGCUCAAAUAUUUGUUUGAAAAGUGCUAUUAGAUGUCAAUUCCAGAAUCUGUUUUUUAGUUCUUCCGGUUAACAGAACAAAGAUAUUUGUUAUUUUCAUAGGAAUUAAUCCACACAUUAUCUGAAGUAGGUCCAAUGGAAUAAAAUGAAGCUUGUUACAUCUACUUUUUGUUCAUGUAGUUUUUACCCAUGUUAGGACUUGUCUUAUCGCUGUUUAAGGGCUGUUUAGCGGGCUAGUCAUUGUAGAAAUACAAAAGCCAGCUACUGCUACAGUAACUGAAUGUUACUGUAGCAGAGCAGCAGUAGUACGCAGCAGUAACAUAGCAGAAGUAGUGGGCAGUGGCGGGCAUCAGUAGCAACGACGCAAGAGGAACAACAACAAUAAGGUGAGGCCAUGGCGCACAUGCGCGCGAGACAGGAGCAGCGGCGGGACGCGGCGCCGCCACGGACGCGCACGGGGCACGGGCGCUCACGCUGUGUAGGGCGCGGUCAGGCGACAACGUGCACGGCCGGAUGCAGAUAGGGGCAAGCUGGGCGGCAGACACGUAGGCGGGAGCAGCAGUAGGCUGCAGCGCGGCCAUCAGGAGCGGGCGGCUGCAGGCCGGGGUGCAGCCUGGUGUGGCCGGGCGCCAGCCGGAGGCGAGGCCAGGCAGUGGGUAGCACGGGGAAGGCGCGCGCGGAGCGAGGCCCGGCCGUGGCGGAUAGUGGUGCGGCAAAAUCAUGGGCGCGACGCUACGGGAAGCAAACGAGCAUGGGGAGUAGGGGAAACUGAAGAGAAUCUCACAGCGGUCGGACAGGAGUAGACAGCGUGGUCGGGGAGGGUUCGACGGAGACGAAUUUGACGUCGGCAUGAUUUGGGUGUCGAGGUGGAAGACGAGUUCGAACCACUCGUUGCGGGGCGGCUCCGGUCUGGUUCGUUGACGUAGCCGACGGAGACGGCGACAACGCCCCUGCUGGACACCUCCGAGUGACCCGGGGCUGCUUCAGUGCACGACAACGGCGACGGCGUGAGACGGAUGCGUUUGGGCGAGCGGAACAAAGAGGGAGAGGGCGAGGGGAGCGGGGACCGAG